AGCAACAGGGAAGAUCCGCACUUGACGCCAACUACACAUACAAGAAUGCUUGUCAUUCAAUCCCCAAAGCGUUAGGGAAGGUCUCCAGACUAGUUUGGGAUUCUUUGGGAUCCCUGUAUCUGUAAAUGGAUACUUUAAUAGCACUAUCCUUGUAUAGUGUUGCAUUCCUCAUUACUUUAUAUAUUACAAAGUUUCGAGUAGUAAAGUAAAGGGAUGAUGUCUCACUGGUCAUAGCAAAAAGUUAUUGCGGAUACUACCUUGUCGUAGUUAACAGAAUGGAGACUACUCUCCCAAGUUGC
Molecule: RNase MRP RNA, 299 nt
Filed under: Rhizopus delemar RA 99-880
Lineage: Eukaryota; Fungi; Mucoromycota; Mucoromycetes; Mucorales; Rhizopodaceae
Also listed under: 1 other name
Description: Rhizopus oryzae RA 99-880 RNase MRP
Rfam family: RNase MRP
About the family: RNase MRP is an enzymatically active ribonucleoprotein with two distinct roles in eukaryotes.
Source: Rfam by way of RNAcentral